GACGAACGCUGGCGGCGUGCUUAACACAUGCAAGUCGAACGGAAAGGCCCUGCUUUUGUGGGGUGCUCGAGUGGCGAACGGGUGAGUAACACGUGAGUAACCUGCCCUUGACUUUGGGAUAGCUUCAGGAAACUGGGGCUAAUACCGGAUAGGAGCUCCUGCUGCAUGGUGGGGGUUGGAAAGUUUCGGCGGUUGGGGAUAGACUCGCGGCUUAUCAGCUUGUUGGUGGGGUAGUGGCUUACCAAGGCUUUGACGGGUAGCCGGCCUGAGAGGGUGACCGGCCACAUUGGGACUGAGAUACGGCCCAGACUCCUACGGGAGGCAGCAGUGGGGAAUAUUGCACAAUGGGCGGAAGCCUGAUGCAGCAACGCCGCGUGCGGGAUGACGGCCUUCGGGUUGUAAACCGCUUUCGCCUGUGACGAAGCGUGAGUGACGGUAAUGGGUAAAGAAGCACCGGCUAACUACGUGCCAGCAGCCGCGGUGAUACGUAGGGUGCGAGCGUUGUCCGGAUUUAUUGGGCGUAAAGGGCUCGUAGGUGGUUGAUCGCGUCGGAAGUGUAAUCUUGGGGCUUAACCCUGAGCGUGCUUUCGAUACGGGUUGACUUGAGGAAGGUAGGGGAGAAUGGAAUUCCUGGUGGAGCGGUGGAAUGCGCAGAUAUCAGGAGGAACACCAGUGGCGAAGGCGGUUCCCUGGGCCUUUCCUGACGCUGAGGAGCGAAAGCGUGGGGAGCGAACAGGCUUAGAUACCCUGGUAGUCCACGCUGUAAACGGUGGGUACUAGGUGUGGGGUCCAUUCCACGGGUUCCGUGCCGUAGCUAACGCUUUAAGUACCCCGCCUGGGGAGUACGGCCGCAAGGCUAAAACUCAAAGGAAUUGACGGGGCCCCGCACAAGCGGCGGAGCAUGCGGAUUAAUUCGAUGCAACGCGUAGAACCUUACCUGGGUUUGACAUGGAUCGGGAGCGCUCAGAGAUGGGUGUGCCUCUUUUGGGGUCGGUUCACAGGUGGUGCAUGGCUGUCGUCAGCUCGUGUCGUGAGAUGUUGGGUUAAGUCCCGCAACGAGCGCAACCCUUGUUCACUGUUGCCAGCACGUUAUGGUGGGGACUCAGUGGAGACCGCCGGGGUCAACUCGGAGGAAGGUGGGGAUGACGUCAAGUCAUCAUGCCCCUUAUGUCCAGGGCUUCACGCAUGCUACAAUGGCUGGUACAGAGAGUGGCGAGCCUGUGAGGGUGAGCGAAUCUCGGAAAGCCGGUCUCAGUUCGGAUUGGGGUCUGCAACUCGACCUCAUGAAGUCGGAGUCGCUAGUAAUCGCAGAUCAGCAACGCUGCGGUGAAUACGUUCCCGGGGCU
This 1346-nucleotide ribosomal RNA is filed under the name uncultured bacterium. Its description in RNAcentral is "bacterial SSU rRNA". It matches the Rfam family "Bacterial small subunit ribosomal RNA", at positions 28 to 1381 of the family's 1533-position model. The record is from RNAcentral.